ACCGCCUACUCCAGUCCUCUCCACCCCAAGCUCUAUGCAACUCAUUUUCAUCUAGCAUUACCUCUCCAAAACCUGAAUCUCCACAAGAAAGCCACACAGCAAUUAACCAGUGUUGCAAGAACUGCUUCUGUAAUAAAGGUGGGAAGACAAAUUGAUGCAACCCUCUUGAAAAGCAAUCUGGCAAUAUGAACCAAGAGCCAUGAAAAGGCUUAUGCUAUUAUAAUUAAAUGGCUGUAAUGUUGGCUGUAAAUAUGAAAUUUUCUUUCACACACCAAUGUUUUCAAGAAUGGCAUAUUCACAUGCAGUAUGUGAUGAAAGAAGCAGUAAAGGAUGCUAACAAAGCUAUUUCUUUGGACAAUCUGAACCUGACGGAGUCUUACUCUGUCGCCCAGGCAGGAGUGCAAUGGCACAAUCUUGGCUCACCACAACCUCCGCCUCCUGGGUUCAAGUGACUCUCCUGCCUGGCCAUAGAAGCAAACACAAACAUAGAGGAAUUGGCUUUGGGCAGAUGGAAGGACCUCAGAGAAAAGAAACAAAGGAAAGAAAACUGGAUGGAUAAAGGUACAAAGAAAUUUGGAGUAGAGCUGAAUUGCAUCCCCCUCAAAUUCAUAUGUUAAAAUUCUGAUCCUCAA
This 632-nucleotide long non-coding RNA is filed under the name Homo sapiens (human). Its description in RNAcentral is "long intergenic non-protein coding RNA 3076". Lineage: Eukaryota; Metazoa; Chordata; Mammalia; Primates; Hominidae. The record is from RNAcentral.